RNAcentral lists this ribosomal RNA (377 nucleotides) under uncultured bacterium. RNAcentral's name for it is "bacterial SSU rRNA". It matches the Rfam family "Bacterial small subunit ribosomal RNA", at positions 524 to 898 of the family's 1533-position model. The record is from RNAcentral.
UACGAAGGGUGCGAGCGUUAUUCGGAGUGAUUGGGUGUAAAGGGUGCGUAGGCGGUAUGCUAAGUCGAUUGUUAAAUCCCUCAGCCUAACUGAGGGUCAGCAAGCGAUACUGGUGUGCUAGAGGAUGGAAGAGAGAAGUGGAAUUCUCGGAGUAGCGGUAAAAUGCGUAGAUCUCGAGAGGAACACCAAUGGCGAAGGCAGCUUCUUGGUCCAUUCCUGACGCUGAGGCACGAAAGCAUGGGGAGCAAACAGGAUUAGAUACCCUGGUAGUCCAUGCUGUAAACGAUGGUCACUAGACGUUGGUCCCGCUAUGCGGGAGCAGUGUCGUAGCUAACGCGUUAAGUGGCCCGCCUGGGGACUACGGUCGCAAGAUUAAA